GGUUAAGCGACUAAGCGUACACGGUGGAUGCCCUGGCAGUCAGAGGCGAUGAAGGACGUGCUAAUCUGCGAUAAGCGCCGGUAAGGUGAUAUGAACCGUUAUAACCGGCGAUUUCCGAAUGGGGAAACCCAGUGUGAUUCGUCACACUAUCAUUAACUGAAUCCAUAGGUUAAUGAGGCGAACCGGGGGAACUGAAACAUCUAAGUACCCCGAGGAAAAGAAAUCAACCGAGAUUCCCCCAGUAGCGGCGAGCGAACGGGGAGGAGCCCAGAGCCUGAAUCAGCAUGUGUGUUAGUGGAAGCGUCUGGAAAGGCGCGCGAUACAGGGUGACAGCCCCGUACACAAAAGCGCAUGUGCUGUGAGCUCGAUGAGUAGGGCGGGACACGUGGUAUCCUGUCUGAAUAUGGGGGGACCAUCCUCCAAGGCUAAAUACUCCUGACUGACCGAUAGUGAACCAGUACCGUGAGGGAAAGGCGAAAAGAACCCCGGCGAGGGGAGUGAAAAAGAACCUGAAACCGUGUACGUACAAGCAGUGGGAGCACCCUUUGGGGUGUGACUGCGUACCUUUUGUAUAAUGGGUCAGCGACUUAUAUUCUGUAGCAAGGUUAACCGUAUAGGGGAGCCGCAGGGAAACCGAGUCUUAACCGGGCGUUAAGUUGCAGGGUAUAGACCCGAAACCCGGUGAUCUAGCCAUGGGCAGGUUGAAGGUUGGGUAACACUAACUGGAGGACCGAACCGACUAAUGUUGAAAAAUUAGCGGAUGACCUGUGGCUGGGGGUGAAAGGCCAAUCAAACCGGGAGAUAGCUGGUUCUCCCCGAAAGCUAUUUAGGUAGCGCCUCGUGAAUUCAUCUCCGGGGGUAGAGCACUGUUUCGGCUAGGGGGCCAUCCCGGCUUACCAACCCGAUGCAAACUGCGAAUACCGGAGAAUGUUAUCACGGGAGACACACGGCGGGUGCUAACGUCCGUCGUGAAGAGGGAAACAACCCAGACCGCCAGCUAAGGUCCCAAAGUCAUGGUUAAGUGGGAAACGAUGUGGGAAGGCCCAGACAGCCAGGAUGUUGGCUUAGAAGCAGCCAUCAUUUAAAGAAAGCGUAAUAGCUCACUGGUCGAGUCGGCCUGCGCGGAAGAUGUAACGGGGCUAAACCAUGCACCGAAGCUGCGGCAGCGACGCUGAUGCGUUGUUGGGUAGGGGAGCGUUCUGUAAGCCUGCGAAGGUGGCCUGUGAGGGUUGCUGGAGGUAUCAGAAGUGCGAAUGCUGACAUAAGUAACGAUAAAGCGGGUGAAAAGCCCGCUCGCCGGAAGACCAAGGGUUCCUGUCCAACGUUAAUCGGGGCAGGGUGAGUCGACCCCUAAGGCGAGGCCGAAAGGCGUAGUCGAUGGGAAACGGGUUAAUAUUCCCGUACUUGGUGUUACUGCGAAGGGGGGACGGAGAAGGCUAUGUUGGCCGGGCGACGGUUGUCCCGGUUUAAGCGUGUAGGUGUGUGUUCCAGGUAAAUCCGGUUCACUUUAACACUGAGGCGUGAUGACGAGGCACUACGGUGCUGAAGCAACAAAUGCCCUGCUUCCAGGAAAAGCCUCUAAGCAUCAGGUAACAUCAAAUCGUACCCCAAACCGACACAGGUGGUCAGGUAGAGAAUACCAAGGCGCUUGAGAGAACUCGGGUGAAGGAACUAGGCAAAAUGGUGCCGUAACUUCGGGAGAAGGCACGCUGACACGUAGGUGAAGUGAUUUACUCAUGGAGCUGAAGUCAGUCGAAGAUACCAGCUGGCUGCAACUGUUUAUUAAAAACACAGCACUGUGCAAACACGAAAGUGGACGUAUACGGUGUGACGCCUGCCCGGUGCCGGAAGGUUAAUUGAUGGGGUCAGCGCAAGCGAAGCUCCUGAUCGAAGCCCCGGUAAACGGCGGCCGUAACUAUAACGGUCCUAAGGUAGCGAAAUUCCUUGUCGGGUAAGUUCCGACCUGCACGAAUGGCGUAAUGAUGGCCAGGCUGUCUCCACCCGAGACUCAGUGAAAUUGAACUCGCUGUGAAGAUGCAGUGUACCCGCGGCAAGACGGAAAGACCCCGUGAACCUUUACUAUAGCUUGACACUGAACAUUGAGCCUUGAUGUGUAGGAUAGGUGGGAGGCUUUGAAGUGUGGACGCCAGUCUGCAUGGAGCCGACCUUGAAAUACCACCCUUUAAUGUUUGAUGUUCUAACGUGGACCCGUAAUCCGGGUUGCGGACAGUGUCUGGUGGGUAGUUUGACUGGGGCGGUCUCCUCCUAAAGAGUAACGGAGGAGCACGAAGGUUGGCUAAUCCUGGUCGGACAUCAGGAGGUUAGUGCAAUGGCAUAAGCCAGCUUGACUGCGAGCGUGACGGCGCGAGCAGGUGCGAAAGCAGGUCAUAGUGAUCCGGUGGUUCUGAAUGGAAGGGCCAUCGCUCAACGGAUAAAAGGUACUCCGGGGAUAACAGGCUGAUACCGCCCAAGAGUUCAUAUCGACGGCGGUGUUUGGCACCUCGAUGUCGGCUCAUCACAUCCUGGGGCUGAAGUAGGUCCCAAGGGUAUGGCUGUUCGCCAUUUAAAGUGGUACGCGAGCUGGGUUUAGAACGUCGUGAGACAGUUCGGUCCCUAUCUGCCGUGGGCGCUGGAGAACUGAGGGGGGCUGCUCCUAGUACGAGAGGACCGGAGUGGACGCAUCACUGGUGUUCGGGUUGUCAUGCCAAUGGCACUGCCCGGUAGCUAAAUGCGGAAGAGAUAAGUGCUGAAAGCAUCUAAGCACGAAACUUGCCCCGAGAUGAGUUCUCCCUGAGACUUAGAGUCUCCUGAAGGAACGUUGAAGACGACGACGUUGAUAGGCCGGGUGUGUAAGCGCAGCGAUGCGUUGAGCUAACCGGUACUAAUGAACCGUGAGGCUUAACCUU
This 2906-nucleotide ribosomal RNA is filed under the name Salmonella enterica. Its description in RNAcentral is "23S ribosomal RNA". It matches the Rfam family "Bacterial large subunit ribosomal RNA". The record is from RNAcentral. Lineage: Bacteria; Pseudomonadati; Pseudomonadota; Gammaproteobacteria; Enterobacterales; Enterobacteriaceae.